AAACCAAACAAUCCCAACACACUUAGCUAACAAGAGAUGUUCCAACACAAUCAGCGGCGACGACCGGCGGACGGCGGCUGCGGCUGGUGGCUGGCGAAGGUGACCGGCGACGACGGCGGAAGCGGCGGGUACUGGCAGGUGCGUCUCCUCAAACCGAGACCAACGGCGGCGACGGCGGCUCGAUCGGAGGUCGGAGGGAGGAGAUCCGGCCGAAAAAAGGUUGGAAUCCCCUGCGACCAACGGUGGCGACCGGCGACCGGAGUUGGACCAGAAGGCUCGCGGCGACGUUCCUGAGGGACCUGUGGUGUUAGUUUGGAGAGAAAACCACGAGGUCGAAGUCGGAACUUGCCCACGCCUCACGACUUCAAUCCACCAAGCUGAACAAAUCUCCUCGCCCUCGCCGCUCGCCACGCCGCUCGCCGCUCGCCGCCAACGAACAGAUCCAGCCUCUCGUCGUCGCUCGCCGCUGCUCGCCCUCGCCACCGGUCGCCCUCGCCGCCAACGAACAGAUCCAGCCUCCCGUCGCCGCUCGCCACCGGUCGCCCUCGCUGCCGGUCGCUCUCGCCACUGGUCUGCUCGUCCGUUCAGGAAAAAAGAAAAAAGAAAAAAUUGAGUUGUAUCAGCAGCAACUACAAAUACCAGAGCUUUCCAGGGAUGACUCAGAUGCAUACUUUACAAACAAUAAACAAAGUAGUACAGUUUGUGGCUUGCUUGAGAAUAAUGUUAUGAAGAGCUUUGCUGCUGAUAAGGAAAGGGCUAACAAUGAUGCAAAGAUCAAAGUAGUGGUGCGAAAGAGACCACUAAACAAAAAAGAAUUGAUGAAGAAUGAGGAAGACAUAAUAGAAACUCUACCAACUCAUUAAUAGUUAUGAGACAAAGCUUAAUUAAGGUUUGUGCACCCGAAAAUUUUUGAUUGUGUUCUAGUAGUUUCUCUUUGUGCCUUGUGGUUCUUAUCUUGUAAGUAUAAGAAUUGGAAAGAUGUGAAUGAUAUUGAAAACUGCUUUUUAUAGUCUGCUCUUUUCAUUCCUUUAAGACUUGUGAUGCUAUUGCAUUUUGUGGAUUUGAUUACAA
Molecule: long non-coding RNA, 1071 nt
Organism: Ipomoea triloba (trilobed morning glory)
Lineage: Eukaryota; Viridiplantae; Streptophyta; Magnoliopsida; Solanales; Convolvulaceae
Exons: 4
Source: RefSeq, a predicted model, not a curated record